CCGAGCGAAAUGUUAAUAUUUAGUGUUAGGGGAGAAUCUCAAACAAUAUAACGACUACGUAGACUUACUACGACGACGGAUUUUAUAUGGAAAUGGUAAAAUAUAACGUGCCUCAGAGAGGGUAUGCAUUUUCAACAGAGCCUUCAGGUGUUUGUUAAGGACGGAGGACGGAAGGUGACAGUUUGAGUGUUUAAGGACGGAAGUUUGAUUUAGGUGAAGCUUGAGGGCGCCGGACCACCCCCACCUAGACUUAAGUUUCGGUUUCUUGCGAACUAAGUACCGAAUGAGAGACAUGGAUGUGAUCUGUCUCAGUUCAGACGACUCUAACGAUGA
Long non-coding RNA from Austrofundulus limnaeus, 333 nucleotides. RefSeq lists it as uncharacterized. The transcript has 2 exons. The record is from RefSeq and is a predicted model, not a curated record. Lineage: Eukaryota; Metazoa; Chordata; Actinopteri; Cyprinodontiformes; Rivulidae.